This 468-nucleotide ribosomal RNA is filed under the name uncultured bacterium. RNAcentral's name for it is "partial 16S ribosomal RNA". It matches the Rfam family "Bacterial small subunit ribosomal RNA", at positions 28 to 507 of the family's 1533-position model. The record is from RNAcentral.
GACGAACGCUGGCGGCGUGCUUAACACAUGCAAGUCGAACGGAAAGGCCCUGCUUUUGUGGGGUGCUCGAGUGGCGAACGGGUGAGUAACACGUGAGUAACCUGCCCUUGACUUUGGGAUAACUUCAGGAAACUGGGGCUAAUACCUGAUAGGAGCUCCUGCUGCAUGGUGGGGGUUGGAAAGUUUCGGCGGUUGGGGAUGGACUCGCGGCUUAUCAGCUUGUUGGUGGGGUAGUGGCUUACCAAGGCUUUGACGGGUAGCCGGCCUGAGAGGGUGACCGGCCACAUUGGGACUGAGAUACGGCCCAGACUCCUACGGGAGGCAGCAGUGGGGAAUAUUGCACAAUGGGCGGAAGCCUGAUGCAGCAACGCCGCGUGCGGGAUGACGGCCUUCGGGUUGUAAACCGCUUUCGCCUGAGACGAAGCGUGAGUGACGGUAAUGGGUAAAGAAGCACCGGCUAACUACGUG